UACGUAGGCAGCAAACGUUGUUCGGAGUUACUGGGCGUAAAGAGUGCGUAGGCGGUUCGCCAAGUUUGGUGUGAAAUCUCCCGGCUUAACUGGGAGGGUGCGCCGAAAACUGGCGGGCUUGAGUGUGGGAGAGGGAAGCGGAAUUCCUGGUGUAGCGGUGAAAUGCGUAGAUAUCAGGAGGAACACCGGUGGUGUAGACGGCUUCCUGGACCACAACUGACGCUGAGGCACGAAAGCGUGGGUAGCAAAC
This 250-nucleotide ribosomal RNA is filed under the name uncultured bacterium. Its description in RNAcentral is "partial 16S ribosomal RNA". It matches the Rfam family "Bacterial small subunit ribosomal RNA", at positions 524 to 773 of the family's 1533-position model. The record is from RNAcentral.